GUUCGGAGGCGGGCCUGGUUUGGAGAAACAACCACCCAUCAGCCAGGCUUGGGGAGGGGAAGGCCAGAGGAGAGGAAGGAGGAGUCUGGAGAGGGGAGAGAAAGACGUAGAAAAACAGACAAGGAGAGAGGGCAGGAGUGGGGGACACAGGUACUGGGAGAGAGUAGAGACACAGAGACAAGAGAGAAAAGGCAACAAAGACAAAGCCAGAGACGCCCAGCCCGAGAGACAGAGCCACACGGAGAGAAUGGAGAGGGGAGCAGGGUCAGAGGGCCCGGACGACGCAGAGAAGGACGCGAAAGGACGUGAGAGGGACUUCCCCCAGGGGCAGGGAGAGGCCUUGGGCAGCUCCUCCGCUGGGCCGGGCUGCCUGCCUGCUGGACUCCGGGAAGGAGGCAGUGACCGCACCCAUCUGGAAGCUGUCAGGUCCCUCAAGGAUGAGGGCGUUGGGAGGAAGCCAGACAUGAGCCACGUCUAGAGAGAGGAAGCGGCGGGAUUUGAAAAAGAUGGCCCUCCUUCUGGGAGAGCACCCACUGCUCAUCUGAAUUCUAGAGAACCACUCAAGUGCAUAUAGACGGCAUCCAUCCUAAGAAGGAAAGUGCUCUCUAAGAAGCCACUAUGCCUGAAAUGCCACCAUAUGUAUACACCAUUCCACUAUGGAAAACAUUGCCUUUUCGGGGCUCUUCCUGUGAAAUGCAGGCCAUGAGCUCUUGCUGGACAUACCAGAACAAAGACAUAGUCUCUUCAAGAUGGCAUUCACAGCCAUAGGGCAGGACGACAGGUGGGCGACAACCAUAGCCAGCAGAAGAGCAGACACUGGAACAGAGGUUCAAACCAACAACUAUGGAGCGAGCUGAGCCUUUUAUUGAAGCGUAAUACAUAUACAGAAAAAUUCACCUAUCAUAAGUAUGCAUCUUGGUAAAUUUUCACAAGGAAUAUACCCAUGGAAC
Molecule: long non-coding RNA, 950 nt
Filed under: Homo sapiens (human)
Lineage: Eukaryota; Metazoa; Chordata; Mammalia; Primates; Hominidae
Description: HSALNT0363926
Source: RNAcentral